UCCCUUUCCCAGCUGGCAAUGCUUAACUCCGCUGCCUGUCAGAGUCAGAAUUUGCUGGAGUCUCCUCCCAGACAAACAAGAUUGCCCAGUGUAGAGAAAGCAAGCGGUGAUCCGAGGAAAGGAGACACUGCAGCGAAAGCACGCCUGCUUGAGCUUGAGCCACAGCGCUAUUUAAAACCGAGCCGUAUUCUCUCCUGGCUGACUACAGUCCCCGAGGGAGCAGCCACCAGCCAAGCAGAGGGGACUCGUGCGGCGCCCCGGCCUCACACUUGAUACAGUCAACCUCAGGGAUGACUUGCGGAGGAACCGUCACAGCCAUCCUGGAACGAAGCAAAUGCUGCCCCGCGGGGGUUUUCCCACCGUGCACCCCGCCUGGUACGGGCUCUUGUUGGGCAGUGAAAAAGCUCUCCGGGUCUUUGGCUCUGUGAGCUUUUAAACUGUAUUGUUAAAAGGAGAGCUAACGGAAUUAGCUAAAUCCCGUGUUGGUUUAAAAAUGUCUCGGAAAUGAAACCUGGGAGAGUGCACCAGAUCAGAGGUGCUCACGACAAACAAAUUAGCAGGAGCAGCCGAACUCCUAUAUAUGUCUCACAAGUAACUACAAAUCUAUCUUUACAGAAGCAGCUCAGUUAAGUUUUUAGUUGCUGAAGAUAUGUUUUUAAGACUCUUGCACAAGCCAACCGUUCAAAGUUAUACCAUCUGAAUUGAUGAACUCAUCAGCUCAGCUGGAAAGCACAUCAACUGGGAAAUGCAUCUGAAGUGCAUAUUGCAUUAACACACAAAUUUAAUUUAAAGGAAGAAGCGCUUUAUGGAUUUUAAAACUAGUACUUAAGAUCUGCAGAUUGCUCCAUCUCAACUACCGUGAUAAAAAUAGCAAAAUGGUCUAGGAACGGUGACUGCUGGUUUCUAUUUUAUGCUAAAUUUUAGUCUACAUGGCUCAUGAAUGAACAAGUGUUAAAAUAAGGUUUGAGAAAGCACACAGUUAAUUGGGAAGAUAAAUGUUUAAAAGGAUUAAAAAAAUCAAGUGUUGCUA
This is a long non-coding RNA of Tyto alba (common barn owl), 1030 nucleotides long. RefSeq lists it as uncharacterized. The record is from RefSeq and is a predicted model, not a curated record. NCBI's taxonomy places the organism in Eukaryota, Metazoa, Chordata, Aves, Strigiformes, Tytonidae. The transcript is spliced from 2 exons.